CGGACGGGUGAGUAACGCGUGGGUAACCUGCCUCAUACAGGGGGAUAACAGUUAGAAAUGACUGCUAAUACCGCAUAAGACCACAGCACUGCAUGGUGCAGUGGUAAAAACUCCGGUGGUAUGAGAUGGACCCGCGUCUGAUUAGCCAGUUGGCAGGGUAACGGCCUACCAAAGCGACGAUCAGUAGCCGGCCUGAGAGGGUGAACGGCCACAUUGGGACUGAGACACGGCCCAAACUCCUACGGGAGGCAGCAG
RNAcentral lists this ribosomal RNA (255 nucleotides) under uncultured bacterium. RNAcentral describes it as "partial 16S ribosomal RNA". It matches the Rfam family "Bacterial small subunit ribosomal RNA", at positions 99 to 354 of the family's 1533-position model. The record is from RNAcentral.